This is a long non-coding RNA of Podarcis raffonei (Aeolian wall lizard), 279 nucleotides long. RefSeq lists it as uncharacterized. The transcript has 3 exons. The record is from RefSeq and is a predicted model, not a curated record. Lineage: Eukaryota; Metazoa; Chordata; Lepidosauria; Squamata; Lacertidae.
CAAAGUCUUGAUGUAGACAGAUGAGUUAGUGCUGCUCUCCCUUUCCCGGCUGGGCCUCAAAAAACUCUUGGAAGUGAUCAGCACAUACUGUAAACAGGAAAAGUCCUACUGUCUAUGCAGAAGUAAGGUCCUAUUAGAUUCAGCAGGGCUUACUCUUAGGCUAAACAUACCCAGCUCCUUCCAGUGCUCCUCAUAAAGCUUGGUUUUCAGACCCUUGAUAAUCUUGGUUGCCCUCCUCUGCACACAUUCCAGCUUGUCAACAUCCUUCUUAAAUUGUGG